Molecule: non-coding RNA, 136 nt
Filed under: Chromohalobacter israelensis DSM 3043
Lineage: Bacteria; Pseudomonadati; Pseudomonadota; Gammaproteobacteria; Oceanospirillales; Halomonadaceae
Description: crcB RNA
Rfam family: Fluoride riboswitch aptamer (crcB RNA motif)
Source: RNAcentral
GUGGAUGCCGGAGAUGGCAUUCCUCCGGUCGCCGAGCCCCGUCAUGUGCGGUGCCACCGCGACAAACCGCCUGGCGUGAUCCGAGACCAUGACGUCUCGACCACCGGCCGCCAGCGCUAAUGAUGCCUGCCAACGC